AGCACGGCCCGCUCGGCCGGGUCCAGCACGGAGCCGCCGUGGAUCUUCCGCUUGGAGCGUUCGUGCUUGGGCAGGUUCCAGGGCAGCGUGUCCCCCGGUGCCGGCGACCCCGUGCCCGACUUCUGGCUGAGGUCUUCCUCCUCGGAGAGAUCGGCGGAGGACGACAUGGAGCAGCGUUUUCCAAUAUGAAUUGCAAGACUUAACCCUGAAGGAAUGUACCUACAUUUGUAGAAGCAAACAAAGUUACUGAAGAUUUCUUAGAAGCAAAAAUAAUAAUUUCAGCUCUGAGCAUCUGGGAAACCACAGUACGCAGAACAUCACCUCUACGACCUACAAGUAAGAAACCCUCAAGAAAUCUCUUCAAAGUCCUGAACUACCUAGGAGCUGGGCAAAAGGAACAGAAGAAAUGGGCAACUUCUAGCAUGCAACAGAUGAGCUGCAGGGUGAAGGUAAAAGGAAGUCAGGAGCAAGCAACAAGGGAGGAGGUCACAGAAACGAACAGAAAAGUGGGAAAGAGUCUUUGUGCAAAACUGCUUCAAAAGGGUUUAUGAGGGGAUUUAUCUGCUUUAAGAAAAACAGUGAAACAUAGAAGUCCAAGAAACAGGUGCAAACAGUCCCUUGGUAGGCAUGUGUGUGUUUGGAAAGGGAGAGAGACCUUUAAAGUCAACCUAAUGUCCACUGAAGGCUCUCAUUUAUUUUGAAGGCGACAAAUGCAACUUACACACUUAGAACAGGCACCUAGAGAUACCUUUCAAGAUACUAAGAUGCUUCAAACUUGUUAAAAUUUUUAUAAAUUAAUCACUUAAUAAACCCUCUCCAGUUCUUCUUAAGAUCAAUAUCAAUAUUCUUUAGAUACUGAAGCAAAAACUACACACACUGUUUCCCUUUUUUUAUGUUCAUUCACAUGUUCUUUGCAUUCAUGCGUUCCCUGCAUUUCUUCACUGUGGCUGUAUUCAUCCUUAGAGUGAAUGUGUGCUUCAUGUGCUCAAAGAUUUGUCACACGUUCUGAGAGCAUUAAUAGAAUGUUAAAAAAAUGCUGAAGAUGAAAGAAGAGUUGGUUGUGCUUUGCCAUAUCUGCUUCUAAAUGUGAUUCACAAGAGACGCAACCCAACCCAAGGAGAUGUCUCCAAAAGAAAGCUAUGAAUGUAACCUGUAGAUGAAAUAGCUAAUAGUUGGAAUUAACCAAGUCUUGUGCAAUGUGAUGAGUAAUUUUCGUAUGUCAUCUGAAUUGGGUCACUCAAAAUAUCAAGUAAAGUACAUCUUGAUAUUGAAAAAACAGUAAAUAGCAUCAGAUUAAGAAAAAAAAUGGAAAUUAUGUAAUGAGACUUUAAAAAAAACACUUAAAAAGACCUUCAAAACAAUUUUUCCACAGGAAAUACUUCAUGUGAAGUAACACAAGUGUCAACUAAUACCUAGACCUCUGUUACUGAUCUGGUAUCAAACAUUUUUAAAAUACUAUAUUUUUC
Lagopus leucura (white-tailed ptarmigan) is the source of this 1466-nucleotide long non-coding RNA. RefSeq lists it as uncharacterized. The record is from RefSeq and is a predicted model, not a curated record. The transcript is spliced from 3 exons. Lineage: Eukaryota; Metazoa; Chordata; Aves; Galliformes; Phasianidae.